CGGUAGGGGAAGGAAGGUCGUUUCGGGUUACGUUAAACCCUUUCAGGUGGGACGAAGCCACUCGGUUAAUAGCCCAGAGGGUGACGGUACCGCCAGAAGAAGCCCCGGCUAACUACGUGC
This 120-nucleotide ribosomal RNA is filed under the name uncultured bacterium. RNAcentral's name for it is "partial 16S ribosomal RNA". The record is from RNAcentral.